GCUGUUGCCAUGGUGAUGGACAAGCAUGCGCUGCCUCCGCUAGAGUCGGGUCUCCAGGAGUUGGAAGUGCGGAAUGAUUUGCGGAACUUGAGCGAUCUCUCGUCGCUCCGCGACCCCUUCAACUCUGGCCGUAGUUGUAUCGCUUGCGGUGCCACUGUUUCAGGGCUUCUGCUUUCCUGGGGUUAUUAUUAUUGCAGGCGUUGUUCAAUGACUCCGCCAUUGGAUUGGAAGGAAAGAACGUCGGGUUAUUACAAGGUGUUGAAUGUAGUUGCCUGCCGGGAGCCAGGGUGAGGAACUCCGCCCGUGGCAAAGGUCAUGAGAAAGGAGGCUCGACAUACGCAAAGGCUGAAAUCCUUCAGUAGCCAGGCUGGACUACUGCGACAUUUUGAGAUUUCCAUCAUGUGGACCUUGUUAGGAGUGACGGACGACGGGCACUUUCAGCUGCAGCCAGAUGUCCCCAGGGCGCCGUUCUCAGCUCAGCGUGACUGUCCUCACUGAAUCACAAGUUAAAGAGGAGCCUCUGACUUAGAGAAAGUGAGGUGAAGCUCCCGAGAGGAAAGUGAGGUACCAGGCAGAGAAUCUAGCAGGAGCAGCUGGAAGGGGAGGGGUUUACUACGGGCAGUGCCACCGCUGAAAGCAUGUCACAAAGUCCCUGAGUUCCCCGUGAGUCACUGGGUAAAUGCCCGCGCAGGCGCUCCGUUCCGGUGAGACACUGGCAGGGCCUGGGCACCAGGGAGAUUUGAAAGAUGAGACCUCCUGCGCUAAUGUUGCCACACAGCUGUGCCGAAGGAAAUUUUAAAAAGGUUAACAAUCACGUCAGGUCGUCACUGACUUUCCUUACAGAGCUUUCCCAUGGGAGAAACUUAACUUAAUCAUUGAUAGGAAUUAUCAAGCAUCAGCAUACUUUUCAUGACCAUUUAACCCACGCAGUGUACUCCCCCAGACACAGUGGAACGCAGGGAUACGAUGCAGGACAUGCCCCCUGACUUCAGGCAGGGUGUCGGGGAGACCUUUUUCUUUUUAUAAUGAGGUAAACCCCAUCCCAUCCCCAGGUGACCACAGAGCUGUUUUCUGUCACUGUAAGUCUGCAUCUUCUAAAGGUUCAUAUAAAAAGAAUCACAUGGUGUGUACUUUGUCUUCUCUGGCUUCUUUCACUCCGAAUAAUUAUUUUGACAUUUAUCCAUAUUACUGCAUGUCAAUAACAGUUAUGCCCUUUUUUUUUUACUGCUGAAUAAAGUUCCAUCGUGUAAACAUAUCAAAAUCUGUUUAUUCAUUGACCUGUUAAUGGACAUUUGGAUUGUUUCCAGUUUUUAACUAUCACAAAUAAAGCUGCUUUGAACAUGCA
Long non-coding RNA from Bubalus bubalis (water buffalo), 1345 nucleotides. RefSeq lists it as uncharacterized. Lineage: Eukaryota; Metazoa; Chordata; Mammalia; Artiodactyla; Bovidae. The transcript is spliced from 3 exons. The record is from RefSeq and is a predicted model, not a curated record.